UAAAAUUGAGAAUGGAAAUGGGGAAUGUGCCAAAGAGACAACAACCCGACCAUAGAAAAAAAAACAAAAAAAAACAGGUCACCAACAGGUCUUCAAUGUAGCGAGAAAUUCCCGCACCCGGAGGCGUCCUUCAGCUGGCCCCUAAACAAAUAUAUACUAGUUCAGUGAUAAUGAACGCCAUACUAAUUUCCAAAUUGUACACAAGA
RNAcentral lists this long non-coding RNA (206 nucleotides) under Mytilus galloprovincialis (Mediterranean mussel). Lineage: Eukaryota; Metazoa; Mollusca; Bivalvia; Mytilida; Mytilidae. The record is from RNAcentral.